Molecule: ribosomal RNA, 274 nt
Filed under: uncultured bacterium
Lineage: Bacteria
Description: partial 16S ribosomal RNA
Rfam family: Bacterial small subunit ribosomal RNA
Source: RNAcentral
AUACAGAGGGUGCGAGCGUUAAUCGGAAUUACUGGGCGUAAAGCGCGUGUAGGUGGAUAAGUAAGUUGGAUGUGAAAGCCCCGGGCUUAACCUGGGAGGGUCAUUCAAAACUGCUUAUCUAGAGUACAGUAGAGGGAAGUGGAAUUCCGGGUGUAGCGGUGAAAUGCGUAGAUAUCCGGAGGAACAUCAGUGGCGAAGGCGACUUGCUGGACUAAUACUGACGCUAAGGAGCGAAAGCGUGGGGAGCAAACGGGAUUAGAAACCCCGGUAGUCC